This 82-nucleotide non-coding RNA is filed under the name uncultured Intestinimonas sp. RNAcentral describes it as "Cyclic di-GMP-I riboswitch". It matches the Rfam family "c-di-GMP-I riboswitch aptamer", at positions 12 to 85 of the family's 87-position model. From Rfam's summary of the family: GEMM was predicted in a large-scale screen for bacterial structured RNA regulatory elements. Lineage: Bacteria; Bacillati; Bacillota; Clostridia; Eubacteriales. The record is from RNAcentral.
AGGGGCAAACCGGCCGAAAGGCCGGGACGCAAAGCUCGGAGGCUAAAGCGGAGGAAACGCCGCCAUGCCAGUCCGGCCGCCA